Molecule: transfer RNA, 88 nt
Filed under: Melitaea cinxia (Glanville fritillary)
Lineage: Eukaryota; Metazoa; Arthropoda; Insecta; Lepidoptera; Nymphalidae
Description: misc RNA ENSMCXG00005023345.1
Rfam family: tRNA
About the family: Transfer RNA (tRNA) molecules are approximately 80 nucleotides in length.
Source: RNAcentral
CCUUCGAUAGCUCAGUUGGUAGAGCGGUGGACUGUAGAUGUGUCAACAAGAAAUCCAUAGGUCGCUGGUUCAAAUCCGGCUCGAAGGA